AUAGUUUUUUUCCCUCACUGUAUGUUACCGUAGUUGAGAUACAAGGUUACAAAGAGACAGAGCGGUGAGAAGGGGGUCCAAUCCAGUCAAAAAUUGUCAGGAUAGAAGGAAAGCGAGAAUAGGGAGCAUGAGUGGCUGGUAGGAGAUUUUCAUUUUAUUUCACUGUAUAGAACUAUCGUGCAUAUACUGAAUCUGGAUAACGGGCGUCUUGGGUGUGUUUAACCUACACAUUUUAAGGUUCCAAUAAACGUUAAAGGGACCCAGGCCACUUAAUCACACUGAAGUGGUCUGGGUGCAAUGUCCCUGUCC
Non-coding RNA from Pelobates cultripes (western spadefoot toad), 309 nucleotides. Lineage: Eukaryota; Metazoa; Chordata; Amphibia; Anura; Pelobatidae. The record is from the annotation of a GenBank genome assembly.